AACGAACGUUAGCGGCGCGCCUAACACAUGCAAGUCGCACGAGAAAGGGCUUCGGCCCCGGUACAGUGGCGCACGGGUGAGUAACACGUAGGUAAUCUUCCCUCGAGUGGUGGAUAAUCCUCCGAAAGGAGGGCUAAUACAGCAUGAGACCACGGCUUCUUCGGAAGCUGAGGCCAAAGCGGGCCUCUUAAUUAAAGCUCGCGCUUGAGGAUGAGCCUGCGGCCCAUCAGCUAGUUGGCGGUGUAACGGACCACCAAGGCAUAGACGGGUAGCUGGUCUGAGAGGAUGGACAGCCACACUGGAACUGAGACACGGUCCAGACUCCUACGGGAGGCAGCAGUGGGGAAUCUUGCGCAAUGGGCGAAAGCCUGACGCAGCGACGCCGCGUGAGUGAUGAAGG
This 400-nucleotide ribosomal RNA is filed under the name uncultured bacterium. Its description in RNAcentral is "bacterial SSU rRNA". It matches the Rfam family "Bacterial small subunit ribosomal RNA", at positions 29 to 414 of the family's 1533-position model. The record is from RNAcentral.